RNAcentral lists this ribosomal RNA (479 nucleotides) under uncultured bacterium. RNAcentral describes it as "bacterial SSU rRNA". It matches the Rfam family "Bacterial small subunit ribosomal RNA", at positions 8 to 481 of the family's 1533-position model. The record is from RNAcentral.
AGAGUUUGAUCAUGGCUCAGAUUGAACGCUGGCGGCAUGCUUAAUACAUGCAAGUCGAACGGUAACAGAUUCUUCGGAAUGCUGACGAGUGGCGGACGGGUGAGUAAUACAUAGGAAUCUGCCCAUGUAGUGGGGGACAACUUGGGGAAACUCAAGCUAAUACCGCAUAAUUCCUACGGGAUAAAGAGGCCACUGCUUGCAAGCUCUUGCUACUGGAUGAGCCUAUGUCGGAUUAGUUAGUUGGUAAGGUAAUGGCUUACCAAGACAGCGAUCCGUAGCUGGUUUGAGAGGAUGAUCAGCCACACUGGGACUGAGACACGGCCCAGACUCCUACGGGAGGCAGCAGUAGGGAGUAUUGGACAAUGGGCGCAAGCCUGAUCCGGCAAUGCCGCGUGUGUGAAGAAGGCCUGCGGGUUGUAAAGCACUUUCAAUUGGGAAGACAGAUUAUGAGUUAAUACCUUAUAAUAUUGACGUACCAA